ACAAACACAGCGAUUGCACACAUGAAACAACAGCAUUUAUUUAAAUGACAUAAAACAUGUAAAUACUCUAUUAAUUAGUCAAAUGGAUCUCACACUUCCUCUGUGAAAGUGGGAAUAAUCUGGAUUAGGAUAUUCAUGAAGAUGUGUUCUGUUCCUUGUAUCAAGUAUCCCUUACUAAUUUGGUGAAAUUGAUCAGUUGUGAUGGCAGCAUUAAUUCAUUUGCUAACUCUUCCCAAAUAUUGAAAUAGCCGAAGAAACCUAAG
Non-coding RNA from Pelobates cultripes (western spadefoot toad), 263 nucleotides. The record is from the annotation of a GenBank genome assembly. NCBI's taxonomy places the organism in Eukaryota, Metazoa, Chordata, Amphibia, Anura, Pelobatidae.